Oryctolagus cuniculus (rabbit) is the source of this 116-nucleotide small nuclear RNA. Its record names the gene U2. It matches the Rfam family "U2 spliceosomal RNA". From Rfam's summary of the family: U2 is a small nuclear RNA (snRNA) component of the spliceosome (involved in pre-mRNA splicing). Complementary binding between U2 snRNA (in an area lying towards the 5' end but 3' to hairpin I) and the branchpoint sequence (BPS) of the intron results the bulging out of an unpaired adenosine, on the BPS, which initiates a nucleophilic attack at the intronic 5' splice site, thus starting the first of two transesterification reactions that mediate splicing. The record is from Ensembl. Lineage: Eukaryota; Metazoa; Chordata; Mammalia; Lagomorpha; Leporidae.
AUUGCUUCUCAGCCUUUUGGCUAAGAUCAAGUGUAGUAUCUGUUCUUAUCAGUUUGAAAUCUGGUAUUGUGAUGUCUCCAGCUUUGUUUUUGUUAUUUAUGAUUGCUUUAGCUAUU